Manihot esculenta (cassava) is the source of this 1271-nucleotide long non-coding RNA. RefSeq lists it as uncharacterized. The record is from RefSeq and is a predicted model, not a curated record. NCBI's taxonomy places the organism in Eukaryota, Viridiplantae, Streptophyta, Magnoliopsida, Malpighiales, Euphorbiaceae. The transcript is spliced from 2 exons.
UUACCUCCUCCCCCAGGAGCGAGUCACCAAAGAGAUGGUCAAGCGUCGUGUCCCUCUUCGUCACGAAAAAUCGCCAUGGAAACACUGAGCUCCUCUUCUGCCUUAUAUUCUCCAACCAGAAUCCUUCGAUUCCACACUUCUUCCAAAAGUGCGUUGCUUCACUGCCUUCUCUUUCACUCUAAUUUCUAUCCUUUAUUCUUCAUUUUUAUUUAGCAGUAUGAUUCAGGGAAUGAAAUUUUGAUCUUCGAACGAUUCUAGCAUCGUCCCCUUCUUCUGCAAUCCCACCCUGUCCAAGGACGCGGCCCUGGUUAUUGGUUCUGAGUGCUGCUUCUGUCAGAGGCUGGGCUACUGGUUCCGGCAGUUAAGAUUUCUACUCUUGUAAAUAAUAUGGAAUGAAGUAGAAAACAUAAAGGGAAAAAAAGAAAACUCUUGGGAAAUGCUACAAUGGCAUUGUGUUCUAUACACCAAGAUUGGCAGUAACUCAGAAUUAGCCCGGAGUAAUCAAUUUAAGACUCUCAAAAGGCUCCUAUAGUUUCUGAGUUUCAUGCCACAGUAUAAAAUUAUAGCCUACCCCUUAGCAAUCAAAGUGAUACCUUGUGAACUAGAAACAGGGGCCUCGACUUGCUAUGUAGUUAAUACAUCGAGAAUGUUUGUACGAACUCCAAGCACCUUUCCACCUACGUCCGGGAAAUUCUCAUGUCCAGGCAACGUGCUUAGUUUGCCGUUACUAUCUACCUGCAAAGGGUAUCUAAGGAGGUGCCCCUGCAAUGGGGAAAACGUCUCCUCUGUGUAUCUCCUCCAGUUAUCCUCAGCAAUCAUGCUCACUUUCUUCACACAAUCCAAAGUUUCAGGCUCUUCAAACAAUCUAUCAAUGUACCCCAAGUGUUCUGCCCAAAGUGACAUUCUGUAUCCAAAUACCUGGGGAUACAUCACAGUAUCAGUUAACUCCUGUUCUGCUUCAUUUGGCUAAAGCAAGCAGUGUAUGAAUAUGUAAGAGCACAAACCUGGCCUCGUGGAUGCCGCCCCUUAUUGCCCCAUGUGUGACUGGGCUGGUAUGCACCCAUUGCUAUUUCAGUAUCUCUUGAACCAGCCAAAGAUCGUUGAUUAAUAUUGGCUGAACCCAAUAUAACAUAUUCAUCAUCUACUAUCAUUCCCUUGGAAUGUACAUAAAUCAUAAAACGUCGAUAUUUUUGAGAGGCUGAAUCCUGAAAAUUGGUUAUGGAAAAAUUUUCUCAAACUUUAGGAAAGAAAUGUUCAAAUCAGCACAUAAA